This is a non-coding RNA of Oncorhynchus mykiss (rainbow trout), 1730 nucleotides long. The record is from RefSeq and is a predicted model, not a curated record. NCBI's taxonomy places the organism in Eukaryota, Metazoa, Chordata, Actinopteri, Salmoniformes, Salmonidae.
CUUUUUUUACGCUGCUUCUAUUCACUGUUUAUUAUCUAUUAUCUAUGCCUCCAUACAACCGCAGUUAAUUCCGUUGUACACAAAGCUUUUUUCACGACACACUUUGAACUUUACCUACCCUCUUUGAAUCACCUCUGUUUUCCUCUCUCUCUCUCUCUCUCUCUCUCUCUCUCUCUCUCUCUAGUAGGUUUAAAAUCCUCUCCUGAUGCCAUUACCCUCAAAGAGAAGGAGAAUCUUGUCAUCAGUGCUGUAGAGUUUGAAGAAGCUGGGCUUCCUUGAGCCACAGGCAAAGAGAUUGACAUGCUUUUGGAGCAGCAGGACCAAUUCCAUGAUGCCUCAGGUGUUGAUAAACCUCCCUACCCAGAAAUUCCUCUACAGCUCACCAUCUGGCUCUCUCCUGUACCCUGACCUCUUGUCGCUACGGAAACAGUGCGCUGCCCUCACAAUGCUCUGCCCUCACAAUGCUCACUCGCUCUGGGGAGAGACGCAGAGGGGAGGAGACGGAGGAGGAGGGAAGCUCCGAGCUGGACAGAGAGAUGGAGAGGAAGAAGAGGGACUCUGGCAUGCAAGAGAUCCCAGGACAGUUGCUGGAGUCAGCAGCAGCCCCUCCAUCUGAAGCAUCAGUCUCCCAUGGAAGAAGCCCCAGUUCACGUGGAGGCUAUAGUGGAGGAACAUGUGGUUCUACCAGACAGAGAAGAGGAGACUGACUAGAGAGGUCACUGCUGAGGGGCUGUUGAGGAAGGUUUGGCAAGGUCACCUUCUACUCUCUACUGCCCCUGGAGGCAGUACUGCAGCUCACAUGCUCUCCAAACUGCUAGAGCUGGUGUCUGCUAGGGAGCUGGCUGUACAUCAGGCUGAAUCCUACAGCCCCAUUACCAUCAUCCCCGGACCAUUCAGCACCGUGCACACCUGAGGAACACAGAGGAUGUCCACACACACACACACACACACACACACACACACACACACACACACACACGGGAUGUGUGCGGCCGUACUUUUAAAACUAAUAAUGUUCAUUCAUGUCCCAAAUUUCAUUCCUGUGAGAUCAUCACCUCAAACUGUUUUGUAGCACACGAGUCCUCUUGACUUUUGUAAACAUUUUUGUAAAACAUUUAGUGAAGCCUUUUUAUAACAAGUGAAAUUACUGAGUUAUUAUUGAAAGUUAGUUAUUCAUAUUUUUAUUUUUUUUAUUCAAAGUUGGUAUUUAUAUUAUUAAAUCUGUUGAGGAGUGUAUUUAUUAUUAAUAUAUUUAAUAUGAUGUAUUUAGCAGGGGAUAUAUUUUAUUCAAAUUUAUUUGUCAACUGUCAUGAAAGUUGAUAUUGUUGACAGCAACGUUUUUGGUGAACUUUUCUCAGAUGUCUUUUCUAUCUUAUUGUGGUAUGAUGUUACUGUCACGUUCUGACCUUUAUUUCCUUUGUUUUGUCGUUAUUUAGUAUGGUCAGGGCGUGAGUUGGGUGGGCAGUCUAUGUUUGUUUUUCUAUGAUUUUGGGAUUUCUAUGUUUCGGCCUAGUAUGGUUCUCAAUCAGAGGCAGGUGUCAUUAGUUGUCUCUGAUUGAGAAUCAUACUUAGGUAGCCUGGGUUUCACUGUUUGUUUGUGGGUGAUUGUCUAUGUUAGUUGCUUGUGUCAGCACAGUGCUUAUGAUAGCAUCACGGUCGUUAUUUGUUUAUUGUUUUUGUACCGUUUUCUUCGUGCUUUGCGUCAUCUAUUAAAUUACGCAUUCACACCA